AGUGAACGCUGGCGGUAGGCCUAACACAUGCAAGUCGAACGGCAGCACAGUAAGAGCUUGCUCUUACGGGUGGCGAGUGGCGGACGGGUGAGGAAUACAUCGGAAUCUACUUUUUCGUGGGGGAUAACGUAGGGAAACUUACGCUAAUACCGCAUACGACCUACGGGUGAAAGCAGGGGAUCUUCGGACCUUUCGCGAUUGAAUGAGCCGAUGUCGGAUUAGCUAGUUGGCGGGGUAAAGGCCCAUCAAGGCGACGAUCCGUAGCUGGUCUGAGAGGAUGAUCAGCCACACUGGAACUGAGACACGGUCCAGACUCCUACGGGAGGCAGCAGUGGGGAAUAUUGGACAAUGGGCGCAAGCCUGAUCCAGCCAUACCGGGUGGGUGAAGAAGGCCUUCGGGUUGUAAAGCCCUUUUGUUGGGAAAGAAAAGCAGCAGGUUAAUACCCCGCUGUUCUGACGGUACCCAAAGAAUAAGCACCGGCUAACUUCGUG
Molecule: ribosomal RNA, 492 nt
Filed under: uncultured bacterium
Lineage: Bacteria
Description: partial 16S ribosomal RNA
Rfam family: Bacterial small subunit ribosomal RNA
Source: RNAcentral